RNAcentral lists this ribosomal RNA (117 nucleotides) under Piliocolobus tephrosceles (Ugandan red Colobus). The record is from RNAcentral. Lineage: Eukaryota; Metazoa; Chordata; Mammalia; Primates; Cercopithecidae.
GUCCAUGUCCAUGCUACCCUGAACAUGCCCGAUCUCAUAUGAUCUCUAGGGGAGCUAAGCAGGGUUGGGCCUGAUUAGUACUUGGAUGGAAGAAAGGAGAAGAGGGAGGGGUAAAGA